CGGGGGCAACCCUGGUGGCGAGUGGCGAACGGGUGAGUAAUGCAUCGGAACGUGCCCAUCGAUGGGGGAUAACUGCGCGAAAGCGUUGCUAAUACCGCAUACGACCUACGGGUGAAAGCAGGGGACCGCAAGGCCUUGCGUCGAUGGAGCGGCCGAUGCCGGAUUAGCUAGUUGGUGAGGUAAAGGCUCACCAAGGCGACGAUCCGUAGCUGGUCUGAGAGGACGACCCAGCCACACUGGGACUGAGACACGGCCCAGACUCCUACGGGAGGCAGCAGUGGGGAAUCUUGGACAAUGGGCGAAAGCCUGAUCCAGCAAUGCCGCGUGUGGGAAGAAGGCCUUCGGGUUGUAAACCACUUUUGGCGGGAAAGAAAUGGUCUGUGCUAAUACCACGGAUUGAUGACGGUACCCGCAGAAUAAGCACCGGCUAACUACGUG
This 438-nucleotide ribosomal RNA is filed under the name uncultured bacterium. RNAcentral's name for it is "bacterial SSU rRNA". It matches the Rfam family "Bacterial small subunit ribosomal RNA", at positions 74 to 507 of the family's 1533-position model. The record is from RNAcentral.